ACGAACGCUGGCGGCGUGCCUAAUCCCUGCCAGUCGCACGCUGAAGGAGGAGCUUGCUUCUCCGGAUGAGUUGCGAACGGGUGAGUAACGCGUAGGUAACCUGCCUGGUAGCGGGGGAUAACUAUUGGAAACGAUAGCUAAUACCGCAUAACAGUAGAUGUUGCAUGACAUUUGCUUAAAAGGUGCAAUUGCAUCACUACCAGAUGGACCUGCGUUGUAUUAGCUAGUUGGUGAGGUAACGGCUCACCAAGGCGACGAUACAUAGCCGACCUGAGAGGGUGAUCGGCCACACUGGGACUGAGACACGGCCCAGACUCCUACGGGAGGCAGCAGUAGGGAAUCUUCGGCAAGGGACGGAAGUCUGACCGAGCAACGCCGCGUGAGUGAAGAAGGUUGUCGGAUCGUAAAGCUCGGUUGUAAGAGAAGAACGAGUGUGAGAGUGGAAAGUUCACACUGUGACGGUAUCUUACCAGAAAGGGACGGCUAACUACGUG
This 494-nucleotide ribosomal RNA is filed under the name uncultured bacterium. Its description in RNAcentral is "partial 16S ribosomal RNA". It matches the Rfam family "Bacterial small subunit ribosomal RNA", at positions 29 to 507 of the family's 1533-position model. The record is from RNAcentral.